AUGCAGGAAGGAAUACUUAGAUACAAAGGGCGAGUGUGGAUUGGUAAUGACACAGAAACUCAGCAACACCUCGUCCAGACACUGCACGCAAGCGCAGCGGGAGGCCACUCCGGCUUCCACGCCACUUACAACAGGAUCAAGAGGCUUUUUGCGUGGCAUGGAAUGAAACAGCAAGUAAAGGACUUCGUUCGCAACUGCAUGAUCUGCCAACAGGCAAAAACAGAAAGGAUUUCACCGGCCGGGCUACUUCAACCCCUGCCGAUCCCGAAGAAACCUUGGGCGGUCGUGUCACUGGACUUCAUCGAGGGACUGCCCAGAUCAGGAGGCUUCGAUACAGUUUUGGUGAUUGUGGAUAAAUUCUCCAAGUAUGCCCAUUUCAUUCCCUUGGCGCAUCCAUUCACGGCCCUUCAAGUGGCGAAGCUGUUUAUGAAAGAGAUCUUCCGCUUGCAUGGCUUGCCGCUAGCUCUCAUCUCUGACCGCGACAAGGUGUUCACAAGUAAGGUAUGGCAGGAACUGUUCAAACUCUGCCUUACAGAGAUCCGACUCAGUUCGGCAUACCACCCACAGACGGACGGCCAGACGGAGCGCGUGAACCAAUGUCUCGAGGCUUAUCUUAGGUGUGCGGUACAUUCAUGCCCUGCAAAUUGGUCAAAGUGGCUACCACUUGCCGAGUACUGGUACAAUACGUCCUUUCAUUCAGCAUUGGGGAGGACCCCGUUUGAAGUGGUGUAUGGCCAUCUGCCAAGAGAGUUUGGAGUUACUCAGGUUGAUGAGUGCACAGUACCGGACCUGGCUGCAUGGCUGCAGGAGCGAGAGGUCAUGAUCGAUCUGCUGCAGCAACAACUGAAGCAAGCUCAAGACAGGAUGAAGCGACAUGCAGACAAGCAUCGCACAGAUCGCGAGUUCGCCGUGGGCGACGCGGUCCUGCUCAAGCUCCAACCCUUCAUUCAGUCGUCAGUCGCGCAACGGCCACAUCAGAAGCUUGCCUUUCGCUACUUCGGUCCCUACAGAGUGGUGGCGCGGAUUGGGGCAGUGGCCUACAAGUUGGAUCUCCCACCUACAAGCAAGAUUCACCCAGUCGUCCAUGUGUCGCAGCUCAAGAAAGCUCAAGGGGCUGUGGUGCCAGUGAGUCCUACUUUACCUCCUGAUGACUCUGUUUUGCAGGCAGAACAUAUACCUGAAACGGUGCUGGAGAGCAAAAUGGUUCGUGUGGGCGGCGAGCCGGCCCUACGCCUACGCAUCAAGUGGAGCGGCCUGCCGUCGUGCAUGGCCACCUGGGAAGAGCCACAACAGCUGCAACGGCGCUUCCCUAACUCUCCGCCUUGGGGACAAGGCGAAACGCAAGACGGGGGAGAUGUCACGGCUGGCCAGAGGGCCCCGUCCACCAGUGAAGGCGAGGCAGACCGUGGACGAGAAGGCGAAGCCUUGGCGGUCAAGGAAGGCGCGUAA
This 1449-nucleotide ribosomal RNA is filed under the name Triticum aestivum (bread wheat). Its description in RNAcentral is "partial small subunit ribosomal RNA". Lineage: Eukaryota; Viridiplantae; Streptophyta; Magnoliopsida; Poales; Poaceae. The record is from RNAcentral.